This 893-nucleotide long non-coding RNA is filed under the name Marmota monax (woodchuck). Lineage: Eukaryota; Metazoa; Chordata; Mammalia; Rodentia; Sciuridae. The record is from RNAcentral.
CUCUCUCUCUCUCUCUCUCUCUCUCUUUAAAAAAAACAGGAAAAAAGAAAAAGAAUAUAACCUAAAUCUGAUGAGGGAGAAGGUAUAAAACUGGCCUGGAAAGGAAAUGGAGGAGGAAUAGUUUACUACCAUAUGGGUAAUAUCAAUUUGACUUUCCUUACAACCAAAAACAAAUAUUAUAGAAUGGAAAAUCUGAAAUUAGUUGUGAGAUCACUGAAUGCUGUCCAACCCCAGCUGGAUGUGCAGGCUACCAAAAGAUUCGUCCUUUUACUUGGUGGACAAUUUAAAAUUCCAGGAUCAAAGUUCGAUCAAACUAAGGCUUUUCACCAUUUACACCUUAUUAUGUAGUACUGAUGGAAUCUCUUUGUCUUCUUUACUAAAGAGCCCUUACCAAGGGAUCAAGAACAAUGACACUAUUAGCAUAUCUUCUGUAUUGAAAAAUCUUUUGGUAAAAUAUCCUGUUCUACCUGCAAAGUACUGAUCAAUGCUAUUGCUGCAGAGCAUGCUAUUUAUCAUCAGAUUGAUAAUCAUAUUGACAUAAUGAGUCCAACAGAUGAAACACCGUUUCCUGGAAUGAAUAGCAAAGCCAAAGAUUGACAAACCUGGGAGUGGAUAAAUGGCAAAACACCAAAGUUUAGUAUAAAUACUACCUUUAAUGUGUUAUAUAAACAAUCACACUUGGAGAUUGAAGUAUUCAUAGAUGCGAAGAAAUGAAGACUUGAAAUCUGCAAUGUUGAAGCAGCCGAUCAUUGGUUACCACUGGAAAUAUGUGACAAAUUAAAUUCAAUUUUAUUGGCGUCAUGUUUUGCCCAACUGAAACUACCAUGUUAACAAAUACAUUACUUAGAAUAUGUCCAGAAGGCCUGGAACUACAUAAUAAAGGAAAUAUUCUC